GUGGGGAAUCUUGCGCAAUGGGCGAAAGCCUGACGCAGCCAUGCCGCGUGAAUGAUGAAGGUCUUAGGAUUGUAAAAUUCUUUCACCGGGGACGAUAAUGACGGUACCCGGAGAAGAAGCCCCGGCUAACUUCGUGCCAGCAGCCGCGGUAAUACGAAGGGGGCUAGCGUUGCUCGGAAUUACUGGGCGUAAAGGGCGCGUAGGCGGACAUUUUAGUCAGAGGUGAAAGCCCAGGGCUCAACCUUGGAAUUGCCUUUGAUACUGGCUGUCUUGAGUACGGGAGGGGUGAGUGGAACUACGAGUGUAGAGGUUAAAUUCGUAGAUAUUCGGAAGAACACCAGUGGCGAAGGCGACUCACUGGCCCGUUACUGACGCUGAGGCGCGAAAGCGUGGGGAGCAAACAGGAUUAGAAACCCGGGUAGUCC
RNAcentral lists this ribosomal RNA (425 nucleotides) under uncultured bacterium. Its description in RNAcentral is "partial 16S ribosomal RNA". It matches the Rfam family "Bacterial small subunit ribosomal RNA", at positions 354 to 796 of the family's 1533-position model. The record is from RNAcentral.